UACGUAGGGUGCGAGCGUUAAUCGGAAUUACUGGGCGUAAAGCGAGCGCAGGCGGUUCUGUAAGUCAGAUGUGAAAUCCCCGGGCUCAACCUGGGAACUGCGUUUGAAACUACAGGGCUAGAGUAUGGGAGAGGGGGGUAGAAUUCCACGUGUAGCAGUGAAAUGCGUAGAGAUGUGGAGGAACACCGAUGGCGAAGGCAAUCCCCCGGACCUGUACUGACGCUCAUGCACGAAAGCGUGGGGAGCAAACAGG
RNAcentral lists this ribosomal RNA (253 nucleotides) under uncultured prokaryote. Its description in RNAcentral is "partial 16S ribosomal RNA". It matches the Rfam family "Bacterial small subunit ribosomal RNA", at positions 524 to 776 of the family's 1533-position model. The record is from RNAcentral.